RNAcentral lists this ribosomal RNA (254 nucleotides) under uncultured bacterium. Its description in RNAcentral is "partial 16S ribosomal RNA". It matches the Rfam family "Bacterial small subunit ribosomal RNA", at positions 524 to 776 of the family's 1533-position model. The record is from RNAcentral.
UACGGAGGAUCCAAGCGUUAUCCGGAAUUACUGGGCGUAAAGAGUUGCGUAGGUGGCAGAGUAAGUUGGUAGUGAAAGCGUGGGGCUCAACCCCAUAUCCAUUACUAAAACUGCUCAGCUAGAGGAUGAGAGAGGUCGUUGGAAUUCCCAGUGUAGGAGUGAAAUCCGUAGAUAUUGGGAGGAACACCGAUGGCGUAGGCAGACGACUGGCUCAUUCCUGACACUAAGGCACGAAAGCGUGGGUAGCAAACGGG